UAUGAGGAGAAAUCGGGCUCCAGUCAAUACUCUAUACUACAAGUGAUGUGGCUGACCAGAGAAGAAAAACUCAUUUAAUACUGAGACAAGGGACACUGGAUUCAUCAUGUCAGUUAAGCUUCCUAAGAGGCUGAGCAGCAAGAAAAAAAAACCUCCAAAAGACAAUGCCCAGACAGAGGUUCUACAUAAGCUGGGCCUGGAGGCCUUCAGGACUGCACCACUAGACCCAGCAUCUAUGUUGGACAUCAGCACUUGGACUCUGGAGAACCAAACUCCUCUAGAGCUCAAAGAUCUGCCAAAUGCUUUCCUCCAACGCCUUUGGCUACUAAGCCCCAAUGCUCGAAGUACUUGCUGCAAAUCUCCAAGUGAUGCUGUGAACAAAUCACCUGAGGAGAUGAUCAAUGGUUUUGGUGAAGAAAGCCAGUAUGCCAUCAACCCCUUGAUCUAGUUACAGCGGUCUUUAUGUCUGCCAACACCUUCCUUCAGCAGGAGAUGGCUGUGCGCAUGAUGCAAUGCCAGUUCGCUGUGCCCCUGGUACUACCAAGCAUAGAUCCAGAGGAAGCCAGUCGCUUCCUUCUUUGGCC
Lates calcarifer (barramundi perch) is the source of this 584-nucleotide long non-coding RNA. RefSeq lists it as uncharacterized. The record is from RefSeq and is a predicted model, not a curated record. The transcript has 3 exons. Lineage: Eukaryota; Metazoa; Chordata; Actinopteri; Centropomidae.